Xiphias gladius (swordfish) is the source of this 740-nucleotide long non-coding RNA. RefSeq lists it as uncharacterized. The record is from RefSeq and is a predicted model, not a curated record. The transcript has 4 exons. Lineage: Eukaryota; Metazoa; Chordata; Actinopteri; Istiophoriformes; Xiphiidae.
CACAUUUUAAAAAGUGCAAGAGAGGGGUGAGGGAGCAGAAUGUGACAUAACAGGCAGGGGACACACGGGACUGACCCACCGCUCAGUGUUGCUGGGACAGGAGGAGGAGACAUCCAGAUGAAAUAACAUAGCUCAAAACCCGACUACUCCUGUUACUGGUGGCCUGGAGGUUGACGCACUUUGAUGACUUGAUAUAAAAGAAGCCCCUCUAAAGCUAUUCUACUGUGACUUGUUCCUGCCACAUGGGUAGCAUUCCAGAUAUGCUUCUCAACAGCCUUUGGUCAGCUCAGCCAGAGAUAGCAGUGCAGCCAGUAGCGGACAAUGCUGUUUCCACCAGAAGCCAAUGUUGGAGCUUUUCAUCAACAUCUUGACACACUCACAAGUCAGAAGUCUAAUUUACAUUUGACCACAUUUUGGCCACUGAGCUAAUUAAAGAUUUAAAUCGGUUCGGAUGGCGAACAGAAAAUCAAUAGUUCUUCUCUUUAGACAAUUGCGUGGAGUUAUCAGUGGAAAAGUUCAGCACAUAAGUUGGUUUAAGAGGCUGUUCCAGGCCUGAAACCUACAGUAUAUUACUCGCUCCAUUAGAAAAUUGCUUCACCUCUCCCUUUGACUUUCCCACUAUACAUUCACUCUGCAUGACACAGUAGAAAUGAUGAGAGAGGUAAUUUAUAUCCACUUUCCUUCAUUUUAAUUGUGGGUGAAUUUGUUUAUAAUGACAACAUCUCUGUAAUUAUGGCAUC